This is a long non-coding RNA of Nicotiana tabacum (common tobacco), 1058 nucleotides long. RefSeq lists it as uncharacterized. NCBI's taxonomy places the organism in Eukaryota, Viridiplantae, Streptophyta, Magnoliopsida, Solanales, Solanaceae. The record is from RefSeq and is a predicted model, not a curated record.
AAUGAGAGCCAAGAGAGCCACUGCUCAUCUGCUUCUUCUUCGAGACCGGCGAUCGUAGUAGGCCACUUCAAGCUCGCCGGAGAAAUCUCGUCGUCGACCCCCACCCGUCCUCUUCUUCUUCAGUAGCAACCAGCAUCCACCAGCUCCAGCUCCGUCGAAUACCAGACGCAUGACGCCACCAGUGACCCCUCAUCGGAAAAUGUCCAGCAACCCCAUCGCCGGAAACUUGCGUACACCACUUGCAUCCAUCUCCCUCGACGCACACAACCACACACACACACACACUCGACCCAAUCUCACUUCCCUUCGCCAUCAUCAAUAAACCAACCUUAACUCCACCUAAGGUCGACCAUCCACACCCUAGGAAACCAUUGAAGUCACUGAUGUUUCUUCACUCUUGAACGCCUGAAGCAACAGCCGAUCUCGUCUCUUCCAUCAGCCAAGAAACAACUCCAGAUUAGGAGCUACUAUCAUGGAGUUAGUUAGGUCUGUUUUCUGAUUUAGUCUGAGCUUUCCGGCGAGCAUCGAGGUCGUCGUUAGUCGUUGUUCAUCUCCGUUUCUGUCCGUGGUUGCCGGUCUGGGAUAUAUUUUGUUGAGGUCGGGAUCGAGGAUUUGUUUAUCUCUCAUCGUUGGAUCAACGCCAGCCUUUCUCUGUUGUUUCACAAUUCAUUCUGGAGGUUUUAUAUUAAAUCAAGUAUUGGAAAGGACUGCGGCUAAAGAUUCUCUUAAAGGUGUGGAUUAACUUACUGGAGUUUGGGCAUGACAGAUACCCCAGGAUCACUGCAUUCAGAAGUUGCUCGAGGAGUCAUUUUAUAUUUUUGAGUCAAUUGUUCAUGUUUUACUUUCUAGUCAUGUAUAGUAGUAUUCGGUCUUUUAGGUGAUGUUAGAGUUUGUAAUAGUCUAGUUAAGUUUGCCUAGUCUUUUGUUAUUGUAUUCCUUAUUUGGUAUUUGGAAAUGUGGUACAAGUCCAAAAAAAAAAAGAAAUUUUGCGUUUUUAUAUUUUCGUUAUAAGUUUUCUUUAGAAUACUAAUUCUAUAAAUGGAAAAAAUUUCCUUUGA